UGAGUUUUCUUUAUCUUGGCCCAGCACUGAAAAGCUCCCACUCAGAUUGUAUGAGUGAAAAUUGCUUGAAGGCCUGAGGUGUGAUGUUGCUAUCUUUUGACACUGAACUGAGACCCACAUCCUCACAGAACACUCUCCUGAUGACUUCAGACUCCCUUGGGUUCCUUUUGAACCCUUUCAGAGUAGAAAUGAUGGACACCAUGGGUUGAAUCCAUAUCCUGGGUGGAUGUGCUAAGGCUAUGCUGCUGGAAGAUGAGAGACAUGGAACAGACUGAGUCUUUUUAGUCAUCCCUGAC
Long non-coding RNA from Choloepus didactylus (southern two-toed sloth), 296 nucleotides. RefSeq lists it as uncharacterized. The record is from RefSeq and is a predicted model, not a curated record. Lineage: Eukaryota; Metazoa; Chordata; Mammalia; Pilosa; Megalonychidae. The transcript is spliced from 3 exons.